RNAcentral lists this ribosomal RNA (253 nucleotides) under uncultured bacterium. Its description in RNAcentral is "partial 16S ribosomal RNA". It matches the Rfam family "Bacterial small subunit ribosomal RNA", at positions 524 to 776 of the family's 1533-position model. The record is from RNAcentral.
UACGAAGGGGGCUAGCGUUGUUCGGAAUUACUGGGCGUAGAGCGUGCGCAGGCGGCUUCUCAAGUCAGGGGUGAAAUCCUGGAGCUCAACUCCAGAACUGCCUUUGAUACUGAGGAUCUUGAGUUCGGGAGAGGUGAGUGGAACUGCGAGUGUAGAGGUGAAAUUCGUAGAUAUUCGCAAGAACACCAGUGGCGAAGGCGGCUCACUGGCCCGAUACUGACGCUGAGGCACGAAAGCGUGGGGAGCAAACAGG